AGGGGAAGGCCGGAUCCUGGGCUGUGUCCCGGCGCCCUGUGCUCCAGGGCCUGCGCUGUUGGAUUUCCGCUCCUGGACAGGAAGCCCCCU
Molecule: microRNA precursor, 90 nt
Filed under: Canis lupus familiaris (dog)
Lineage: Eukaryota; Metazoa; Chordata; Mammalia; Carnivora; Canidae
Description: mir-8799 microRNA precursor family
Rfam family: mir-8799 microRNA precursor family
Source: Rfam by way of RNAcentral